AGCAACACCCUCCGAAAGGGAUCUUGGAAGAUCCAAGAGCCGAGUAGGGGGCGCCCAGGAGCACCCCUGCAGGCUAAAAGAUUCUCAGGCUCAGCUUCCCUCUCCCGGCCCAGGCUGGAGGACCCCGCAAAGCUUGCAUUCCUGUUCCAGCAGGGCAGGACCUGAACCACUCUCCAUCUGCAGAGACUCCAGUCCACAGAAAGCCAGAGCCCCCUCGCAGCCUUCUGCUCCGUUUGCGAGGAUCAUGUCUCCACCUCUAGUAGCCAUAAGCGGGGGUGGGAGACGGGGACAAGAGCAGAAUCACCAGGGAACACGCCCCGCUCCCCGUUCCUGGUCAGAGAAGUGGCCAAAAGUGCCCCCACAGGACUUCCCACCGGAAGGGGAAGUGCCACAUUCCCAGGCCUCCACCCAGUGGGGAGACUCGCAGCCUGACCCAGCUGGCAGAGCUCUCAAACCCACCGGCCCGACGCCCCCUGACGAGGAACCAGAGGCCAGAACAGACACCGGGUUUUGUCCACGCUCAAACCGGUUGCCCCGCGGAGGCUAGAACUGAGUUCAGAGGAAGGCGCCAAGCCUCAAACAACGAGGUGGAGAGGCCAGUCCGUUUUGGGCAGGAUCCUACUGUGGACACAGAACAGACAGCAGCUGCCCACAGUGUGGAAACAAACUGUAAAGCAGUCACGUCUCUUAAGGCUGCAGCAUCCAAUAAAAUGUAAUUUAAAUCAA
This is a non-coding RNA of Manis javanica (Malayan pangolin), 726 nucleotides long. Lineage: Eukaryota; Metazoa; Chordata; Mammalia; Pholidota; Manidae. The record is from RefSeq and is a predicted model, not a curated record.